GCCGGGCGUGGUGGCGCACGCCUGUAGUCCCAGCUACUCGGGAGGCUGAGGUGGGAGGAUCGCUUGAGUCCAGGAGUUCUGGGCUGCAGUGCGCUAUGCCGAUCGGGUGUCCGCACUAAGUUCGGCAUCAAUAUGGUGACCUCCCGGGAGCAGGGGACCACCAGGUUGCCUAAGGAGGGGUGAACCGGCCCAGGUCGGAAACGGAGCAGGUCAAAACUCCCGUGCUGAUCAGUAGUGGGAUCGCGCCUGUGAAUAGCCACUGCACUCCAGCCUGGGCAAUAUAGUGAGACCCUGUCUCUU
RNAcentral lists this signal recognition particle RNA (300 nucleotides) under Cavia porcellus (domestic guinea pig). Its description in RNAcentral is "Metazoan signal recognition particle RNA". It matches the Rfam family "Metazoan signal recognition particle RNA". From Rfam's summary of the family: The signal recognition particle (SRP) is a universally conserved ribonucleoprotein. It is involved in the co-translational targeting of proteins to membranes. Lineage: Eukaryota; Metazoa; Chordata; Mammalia; Rodentia; Caviidae. The record is from Rfam by way of RNAcentral.